RNAcentral lists this ribosomal RNA (343 nucleotides) under uncultured bacterium. RNAcentral describes it as "bacterial SSU rRNA". It matches the Rfam family "Bacterial small subunit ribosomal RNA", at positions 132 to 507 of the family's 1533-position model. The record is from RNAcentral.
UUUGCUACGGAAUAGCCCCGGGAAACUGGGAGUAAUACCGUAUGUGCCCGUUCGGGGGAAAGAUUUAUCGGCAAAGGAUCGGCCCGCGUUGGAUUAGGUAGUUGGUGGGGUAAUGGCCUACCAAGCCGACGAUCCAUAGCUUGGUUUGAGAGGAUGAUCAGCCACACUGGGACUGAGACACGGCCCAGACUCCUACGGGAGGCAGCAGUGGGGAAUCUUAGACAAUGGGCGCAAGCCUGAUCUAGCCAUGCCGCGUGAGUGAUGAAGGCCUUAGGGUUGUAAAGCUCUUUCAGAUGGGAAGAUAAUGACGGUACCAUCAGAAGAAGCCCCGGCUAACUCCGUG